UAGGGAAUCUUCCGCAAUGGGCGAAAGCCUGACGGAGCAACGCCGCGUGAGUGAUGAAGGCCUUCGGAUCGUAAAACUCUGUUAUUAGGGAAGAACAAAUGUGUAAGUAACUAUGCACGUCUUGACGGUACCUAAUCAGAAAGCCACGGCUAACUACGUGCCAGCAGCCGCGGUAAUACGUAGGUGGCAAGCGUUAUCCGGAAUUAUUGGGCGUAAAGCGCGCGUAGGCGGUUUUUUAAGUCUGAUGUGAAAGCCCACGGCUCAACCGUGGAAGGUCAUUGGAAACUGAAAAACUUGAGUGCAGAAGAGGAAAGUGGAAUUCCAUGUGUAUCGGUGAAAUGCGCAGAGAUAUGGAGGAACACCAGUGGCGAAGGCGGCUUUCUGAUCUGUAACUGACGCUAAUGUGCGAAAGCGUGGGGAUCAAACAGG
RNAcentral lists this ribosomal RNA (429 nucleotides) under Actinomycetes bacterium. RNAcentral's name for it is "Actinobacteria bacterium partial 16S ribosomal RNA". It matches the Rfam family "Bacterial small subunit ribosomal RNA", at positions 355 to 776 of the family's 1533-position model. The record is from RNAcentral. Lineage: Bacteria; Bacillati; Actinomycetota; Actinomycetes.